RNAcentral lists this long non-coding RNA (361 nucleotides) under Gallus gallus (chicken). The record is from RNAcentral. Lineage: Eukaryota; Metazoa; Chordata; Aves; Galliformes; Phasianidae.
CUGGGAUCACCUUGACUGCUCUUCUCAUCUUCUGAACUCCUCUGUUCCUCAUCAGAUGUGAUGACCUCUGCAGGUAUCACAGAGACCGGGCACACCUUAUAAGGCUCGGUGUAGGCACGGUGUUGUUCAUCUUCCACCGCAACUUCCCUCGCUGGCUGCCCCGGCCGCUCAGAGCAUCGUCCCGGGGCCGCCACCGCCCUCGCUCCUUGCGGACGCGCCCGGCGCUAGAGCCCCUCUGGGGGCAUGGGAGCGCGGGCGGGGCAGCUGGACCCGGCGCGGCGGGCUGGGCAGGCAGCACUGCCGGCUCGGGGGCGGUCAGCGCCGCGGCGCGCCUCCGCCCUGCCCCGCGCGCGGCCCGUCG